CCUACGGGUGGCAGCAGUGGGGGAUAUUGCACAAUGGGGGAAACCCUGAUGCAGCAACGCCGCGUGAGGGAAGAAGGCUUUCGGAUUGUAAACCUCUGUUCUCGGUGAAGAUAAUGACGGUAUCCAAGGAGAAAGCUCCGGCUAACUACGUGCCAGCAGCCGCGGUAAUACGUAGGGAGCAAGCGUUGUCCGGAUUUACUGGGUGUAAAGGGUGCGUAGGCGGUCUUGCAAGUCAGACGUGAAAACCCCAGGCUCAACCGCAGGACUGCGUUUGAAACUGUGGGGCUUGAGUGCAGUAGAGGUAGGCGGAAUUCCCGGUGUAGCGGUGAAAUGCGUAGAUAUCAGGAGGAACACCAGUGGCGAAGGCGGCCUGCUGGACAUUAACUGACGCUGAGGCGCGAAAGCAUGGGUAGCAAACAGGAUUAGAUACCCUGGUAGUC
Molecule: ribosomal RNA, 440 nt
Filed under: uncultured bacterium
Lineage: Bacteria
Description: partial 16S ribosomal RNA
Rfam family: Bacterial small subunit ribosomal RNA
Source: RNAcentral